Molecule: ribosomal RNA, 360 nt
Filed under: Salmonella enterica subsp. enterica serovar Kentucky
Lineage: Bacteria; Pseudomonadati; Pseudomonadota; Gammaproteobacteria; Enterobacterales; Enterobacteriaceae
Description: bacterial LSU rRNA
Rfam family: Bacterial large subunit ribosomal RNA
Source: RNAcentral
AACCGGGGGAACUGAAACAUCUAAGUACCCCGAGGAAAAGAAAUCAACCGAGAUUCCCCCAGUAGCGGCGAGCGAACGGGGAGGAGCCCAGAGCCUGAAUCAGCAUGUGUGUUAGUGGAAGCGUCUGGAAAGGCGCGCGAUACAGGGUGACAGCCCCGUACACAAAAGCGCAUGUGCUGUGAGCUCGAUGAGUAGGGCGGGACACGUGGUAUCCUGUCUGAAUAUGGGGGGACCAUCCUCCAAGGCUAAAUACUCCUGACUGACCGAUAGUGAACCAGUACCGUGAGGGAAAGGCGAAAAGAACCCCGGCGAGGGGAGUGAAAAAGAACCUGAAACCGUGUACGUACAAGCAGUGGGAGC